Molecule: long non-coding RNA, 1927 nt
Organism: Carassius auratus (goldfish)
Lineage: Eukaryota; Metazoa; Chordata; Actinopteri; Cypriniformes; Cyprinidae
Exons: 3
Source: RefSeq, a predicted model, not a curated record
AGCCUUAGUGAACAUAAGUGAGACUUUGCAGACACAUCUUUUGCUGUUGAGUCAGAAUUCAUUACACCUAUUAACCGUAUCUACUUCUAUUUUAAACUUGACAGCAAGCCGCAGAAACAGGAUGUUUGUGGGACACAAACGUCAGUGUGUACUGCAUGGAUAAUUUCCUCUUCGAGGAAGGCCGCACCCUCAGCACAGACAGAGAGUUGGUCCUGCAAGAGCAUCGCUUCCUCGCUGUGUGUGUGCCACGCUCUGGGUAAAGUAUCACAGAGGUGUGCAAAAAGCCUCCACAAAGGACGAGAGAGAAAAAAAAUCUGGAGACAGAGAGAGCAAACACAGAGAAGCGGAGUGAUACAAACAAAUCAGUGGACUGGAACUAAUUGCUGUAUAACAAUAUGACGAAGAGCUCAUGACAACUACACAGUGAGUGUACAAAUAUUUCUGCUGUAUUUGACCUAUAUAUUUCAGUUAAUCCCAUUUUAACAGAGUCUUAUCCCUCUAAGGUCCAUCAACACUUCAGCACUUCUUCACAGCUGAAAACAGAUGUGGCUUCUGCUAAAGUGUGAGUUCCAGCAACUUCAUUCUGUUAGUCUGAGUUUGAGUUUGCAGUGGGGUUUUCACUCCUUACACAGAGCCUAAAAUAGACUUGUGACUUUUCUGCUUUGCUAGCCAGUAUCACACAUAGACUCUAGUAUCCAUGAGGUUGUCUACAUCGUCAGCAAGGCCGUGACCUUUGACCUCAGCCCAGAGAAGGGUGACAUAUAUAUAUAUGCUCUUAUACAUUUUUUUCUCCUCCCCCAAUGUUAAAAUGCUAGCUACAAUGAGACCCCAAGAUGAAUAAAUAAGCACAUGCUUACGUACCCUGCUUUAGCAAAUAACAUUCCACUGAUGCAUCAUGGGAGCUUUUCUCACAAAACCAGAGAUAAAAAACUUGCUCGUCAUCCCUAUAGAGACCCGGUACUGCUAUCGCUUUGUGCAUUCUGCACACUUUAAGCAAGCAUGUGUUGCUUCCUAUCAUACCCAGCUUUCUAUAUUCAUCCACGUUUGCAGAGCUGGAGAUGAACCAUGCGCUCCAUGUGGCCUUUGAAACUCACCACUCCUGCUUCAAGGAGAAAGCCAAACCCUCCCCAAUGCUCCUUAACUUCCCCCUGCACUCCAUCCGAGAGCCAGACGUGGAUCUUUGCCAGUCCAGGCAAAGCGCUCUGUCUUCCAGGCAUCGCACCCCAUUAUCCUCCGAGGAACCACAUCAGCAUUGAGAUGCGGACCUGUUUUUCUGUAGCACCUUUUGAGCUCAAAGCACUUCCUGAACUCUUGGCGAACAGAGAGGAAAAGGUCAGGCUAACUGCUUUAACCCAAGGUGAUGGCCAGGGUGGCUGACACAAAUCCUAGUGUGGAGAUGCCAGCGAUAACUGAUGACUCACGCCACGAAAACCCGAGAAAGAGAGCGCUGCAAGUUCGACGAUAUCGUAGGCAGUUACUUUUAUUGGGAACGAUUAAUACGCUGGCUAGCGGCAUUUGGACGCGUUCCCAACUCUGAUCUCCCACAAUCCUGCGGCUCAUGUUUCAGAUUAAGCCUCGCAGCGACACCACAGCCUACACAUCAUCCAACCCCUUCCUUCUUGCCUCCACGCAUGAUCUUGCCGUCUGACCUCACUCGUGCUUGAGCGUUCCAGGCGAGCGCAGCGCUUAAAUUAUCCCUCAGAUUCUAAUACAGCAUAAUCAUUUGCCUGUCAUUUUCAUUUCAUGCUCUUUACUUCUUCUGGGACUAUUUUUGGGCGGAAAGCUGUAGGAAAUUCAGAUGUUCAAAAGCUUGCUGAUUAGCCCUGUGAUUAAAAUGGAUCGCUGGCUGAGCCUUCGCCAGAAUCUAAAGCAGAGACUUCUAGAAUCAUUAGGAGUACUUUGUAACAGUUCAUAUUGCAAUGCCUAA